UUAUUUGCAUGGCUUUUGCAACAUAACUGGAGGGGAUACUCUGUGAAUAUGUUAAGUACACACCAGUGUCUGCUAAAGAAGAUUUGAUUUUAUAAGAAAGACUUCUUUUCUCCUUUCCCCUUCCACUAUUCUUUUUUUGAAACCAUUUUCUCAAGUUAAAAAACAAGAGAAGUGCUGCUAUCCCGUUGCUAUUAAUUACCAUAUGAUGGAUAAAAUAACUUGGCUUUGGAAAGAAUCAUUCUAUGGUACCCUGCAGAAAGAAUAUUUAAGUCAUGGUGGUUAUGCUUCUGAUGUGAUAUGAUCUGGUUAGUUAAUCCAGUUUAAAAAGUGCAGAGCUGCUGACUACGGACAAAUGGCUCACUGGUAGAGGCAAUGUGCCAGGUGAUUUGGAAGUAGUUGAUGCACCAAUGGGAAGAAAAAUUGACUCUCACGAUGAGGUGAGUGAUCAUAAGAUGAUAGUGGCUCAAUUAAUACAGGAACAAGAACACAUAUAACACUUCUUGAAUGCAUGGGCCUCGAUUCGGAUGUGCAGUUGUAAUUAAACACAUAAAACUUCAGUUUCUAAUUGUAUAUUAAAAGUAUAAGAGUAGAUUUUGAUCCCAAAAUUUGUACAGAAAGGCAAAGAAACUAGAAUAUCUAAUAUGGUGUUGAAAAAGAAGUACAAGUUUGGAGGACUUUGCUAUCUGAUUUUAUGACUUACUAUGAAGCUACAGUAAUCAAAAUCCAUGAAAUGGCAUACAGACAAAUAGGCAAUGAAACCAAAUAUAGCCCACACUUACUACCAUUUGAUUUUUGAUAAAGGCACCAAAGUAAUCGAAUAAGGAAAGAAAAUUUUUUCAACAAACAGUGCUGGAGCAACUGGAUAACCAUAUGAGAAAAUGAAAAAAAAAAAAAAAACACAACAAAGAACCUUGAUAUUAUAUCACAUCACAGAGAAAAAUCAAGAUAGAUCACUUAAAUGUAAAAGCUAGAACUCGAAAGAAUUUUUAAGUAUAGGAUAAUACUUUUGCAACCUGGGGGUAGGCAAUUGCUUCUUAGAAGGCCAUAGAGAGCACAAACAAUAAUAAGAAAAAUCUGAUAAAUUAGAUCUUACCAAGUUUAUAAAUUUGCUUAUAAAAAGACACCAUUAAGAAAAGGAACAGGAAAAUCACAGAUGAGGAGAAAAUAUUCACAAAAUAUAUAUUUGACAAAGAAUGUACAUCCAAACUGUGUAAAGAACUUAUACAAUCAAAAUAUAAACAGUACAAUUUAAAAUUAGAAAAUGAUUUGAACAGUAAAGAGAGAUAUAUAAAUGACUGAAU
RNAcentral lists this long non-coding RNA (1301 nucleotides) under Bos indicus x Bos taurus (hybrid cattle). RNAcentral's name for it is "lncRNA (ENSBIXG00000024482.1)". The record is from RNAcentral. Lineage: Eukaryota; Metazoa; Chordata; Mammalia; Artiodactyla; Bovidae.